This 284-nucleotide long non-coding RNA is filed under the name Carica papaya (papaya). RNAcentral describes it as "long non-coding RNA (CPAP_LNC015310)". The record is from RNAcentral. Lineage: Eukaryota; Viridiplantae; Streptophyta; Magnoliopsida; Brassicales; Caricaceae.
AUAUCUAGUCAGGCUAUCCACAUUAUCCAUCUUGCCUUUUUCCUUAAUCUCAAUCAUUCAAUCAUACACAACAUGUAAACCAGUAAUUGACACUAAACAAGAAACACAGUAUCAGGUUCACAAUAAUACAAACCAUAAUAAAAGAAAUCAUGAUUCAUGCAUACGAGACCAUAACACAAUUACAUCAAACAUCAUACUGCAUUUAAUACUAAAAAUUAGAUCAACCAACAACUGACCAACAAUGUAUCAAACUCGGACUCCAUUGGCAACCUUAAUCAAUGAUA